Molecule: long non-coding RNA, 96 nt
Organism: Perognathus longimembris pacificus (Pacific pocket mouse)
Lineage: Eukaryota; Metazoa; Chordata; Mammalia; Rodentia; Heteromyidae
Exons: 4
Source: RefSeq, a predicted model, not a curated record
UAGGAGAAAUCUUUUUAUUAACAGACUUCCUAAAGUAGCUAGAUUCUCAGAUAUGGCUUCAUUUCUCAGCGUUUCACCAGCAUGAGAUAUUUUCAU